RNAcentral lists this ribosomal RNA (253 nucleotides) under uncultured bacterium. Its description in RNAcentral is "partial 16S ribosomal RNA". It matches the Rfam family "Bacterial small subunit ribosomal RNA", at positions 524 to 776 of the family's 1533-position model. The record is from RNAcentral.
UACGGGGGGGGCAAGCGUUGUUCGGAAUUACUGGGCGUAAAGCGCGUGUAGGCGGCCCUGUAAGUCCGUUGUGAAAGUCAAAGGCUCAACCUUUGAAAGCCGAUGGAUACUGCAGGGCUAGAGUCCGGAAGAGGCGAGUGGAAUUCCUGGUGUAGCGGUGGAAUGCGCAGAUAUCAGGAGGAACACCAAUAGCGAAGGCAGCUCGCUGGGACGGUACUGACGCUAAGGCGCGAAAGCGUGGGGAGCGAACAGG